Molecule: ribosomal RNA, 227 nt
Filed under: uncultured bacterium
Lineage: Bacteria
Description: partial 16S ribosomal RNA
Rfam family: Bacterial small subunit ribosomal RNA
Source: RNAcentral
ACUCCUACGGGAGGCAGCAGUGGGAAUCUUGGACAAUGGGGGAAACCCUGAUCCAGCCAUGCCGCGUGAGCGAUGAAGGCCUUAGGGUUGUAAAGCUCUUUCAGGUGGGAAGAUAAUGACGGUACCACCAGAAGAAGCCCCGCUAACUCCGUGCCAGCAGCCGCGGUAAUACGGAGGGGCGUAGCGUUGUUCGGAAUUACUGGGCGUAAAGCGCACGUAGGCGGAUU